Molecule: ribosomal RNA, 482 nt
Filed under: uncultured bacterium
Lineage: Bacteria
Description: partial 16S ribosomal RNA
Rfam family: Bacterial small subunit ribosomal RNA
Source: RNAcentral
AUUGAACGCUGGCGGCAUGCCUUACACAUGCAAGUCGAACGGUAACAGGUCUUCGGAUGCUGACGAGUGGCGAACGGGUGAGUAAUACAUCGGAACGUGCCCGAUCGUGGGGGAUAACGAAGCGAAAGCUUUGCUAAUACCGCAUACGAUCUACGGAUGAAAGCAGGGGACCGCAAGGCCUUGCGCGAACGGAGCGGCCGAUGGCAGAUUAGGUAGUUGGUGGGAUAAAAGCUUACCAAGCCGACGAUCUGUAGCUGGUCUGAGAGGACGACCAGCCACACUGGGACUGAGACACGGCCCAGACUCCUACGGGAGGCAGCAGUGGGGAAUUUUGGACAAUGGGCGAAAGCCUGAUCCAGCCAUGCCGCGUGCAGGAUGAAGGCCUUCGGGUUGUAAACUGCUUCUGUACGGAACGAAAAGACUCUGGUUAAUACCUGGGGUCCAUGACGGUACCGUAAGAAUAAGCACCGGCUAACUACGUG